AACGAACGCUGGCGGCGUGCCUAAUACAUGCAAGUCGAACGAGAAAGUCCUUCGGGACGAGUAGAGUGGCGCACGGGUGAGUAACACGUAGGUUACCUACCUUUUAGUGGGGAACAACUGGAGGAAACUCCAGCUAAUACCGCAUACGGUGGAAACACUAAAGGGGGCUUCGGCUCUCGCUAAAAGAUGGGCCUGCGGAACAUUAGCUUGAUGGUGGGGUAAUGGCCUACCAUGGCGAUGAUGUUUAGCUGGUCUGAGAGGAUGAUCAGCCACACUGGAACUGAGACACGGUCCAGACUCCUACGGGAGGCAGCAGUAGGGAAUAUUGCGCAAUGGGGGAAACCCUGACGCAGCAACGCCGCGUGAGUGAGGACGGCCUUAGGGUUGUAAAGCUCUGUUAACAGGGAUGAACGGCUUAGCGGUUAAUACCCGUUAGGUUUGACAGUACCUGUAGAGGAAGCACCGGCUAACUUCG
Molecule: ribosomal RNA, 475 nt
Filed under: uncultured Bacteriovoracaceae bacterium
Lineage: Bacteria; Pseudomonadati; Bdellovibrionota; Bacteriovoracia; Bacteriovoracales; Bacteriovoracaceae
Description: bacterial SSU rRNA
Rfam family: Bacterial small subunit ribosomal RNA
Source: RNAcentral